This 255-nucleotide ribosomal RNA is filed under the name uncultured bacterium. Its description in RNAcentral is "partial 16S ribosomal RNA". It matches the Rfam family "Bacterial small subunit ribosomal RNA", at positions 524 to 777 of the family's 1533-position model. The record is from RNAcentral.
UACGUAGGUGGCAAGCGUUGUCCGGAUUUACUGGGCGUAAAGAGCGCGCAGGCGGUCGUUCAAGUCGCGUGUGAAAGCCCCCCGGCUCAACUGGGGAGGGUCACGCGAUACUGAUCGACUCGAAGGCAGGAGAGGGAAGUGGAAUUCCCGGUGUAGUGGUGAAAUGCGUAGAUAUCGGAGGAACACCAGUGGCGAAGGCGACUUCCUGGCCUGUUCUUGACGCUGAGGCGCGAAAGCUAGGGGGAGCAAACGGGG